Molecule: transfer RNA, 72 nt
Filed under: Rickettsiales bacterium (ex Bugula neritina AB1)
Lineage: Bacteria; Pseudomonadati; Pseudomonadota; Alphaproteobacteria; Rickettsiales
Description: tRNA-Asp
Rfam family: tRNA
About the family: Transfer RNA (tRNA) molecules are approximately 80 nucleotides in length. Their secondary structure includes four short double-helical elements and three loops (D, anti-codon, and T loops). Further hydrogen bonds mediate the characteristic L-shaped molecular structure. tRNAs have two regions of fundamental functional importance: the anti-codon, which is responsible for specific mRNA codon recognition, and the 3' end, to which the tRNAs corresponding amino acid is attached (by aminoacyl-tRNA synthetases). tRNAs cope with the degeneracy of the genetic code in two manners: having more than one tRNA (with a specific anti-codon) for a particular amino acid; and 'wobble' base-pairing, i.e. permitting non-standard base-pairing at the 3rd anti-codon position.
Source: RNAcentral
GAGGAUGUAGCUCAGUAGUAGAGCGCUUGCCUGUCACGCAAGAGGUCGCGGGUUCGAUUCCCGUCAUUCUCG